Molecule: ribosomal RNA, 539 nt
Filed under: uncultured Glomeromycotina
Lineage: Eukaryota; Fungi; Glomeromycota
Description: LSU rRNA
Rfam family: Eukaryotic large subunit ribosomal RNA
Source: RNAcentral
CAUGGAGGGUGAGAAUCCCGUACGGCCGAAUUGAUGCGUUUUGCGAUACGCUUUCAAAGAGUCAAGUUGUUUGGGAAUGCAGCUUAAAAUGGGAGGUAAAUUUCUCCUAAGGCUAAAUAUUGGCGAGAGACCGAUAGCGAACAAGUACCGUGAGGGAAAGAUGAAAAGUACUUUGAAAAGAGAGUUAAAUAGCACGUGAAAUUGUUGAAAGGGAAACGAUUGAAGUCAGUCGUACUUACGAGUAAUCAACCUUUUAAGUCUAGGGCGUAUUUGCUCGUAUGUAGGUCAACAUCAGUUUCGGUCGUUACAAAAUGACUGGAGGAAUGUGGCUUCGAUUUCGAUUGAAGUGUUAUAGCCUCUGGUAUAUGUAAUGACUCGGGACUGAGGAUUGCAACGAAUACCCUUUGGGCUAUUCGUCUGGUUUCUGACUGUCGCUUUGGUGCCGAAAGCUUGCUUACGGUUAUCGAGGUUGAUGGUCAAUAGAUUAGAAGGGUAAAUGGGUUAAACGGAUUAAAUUCGUUAAGGAUGUUGACGUAAUG